Molecule: ribosomal RNA, 253 nt
Filed under: uncultured bacterium
Lineage: Bacteria
Description: partial 16S ribosomal RNA
Rfam family: Bacterial small subunit ribosomal RNA
Source: RNAcentral
UACGGGGGGGGCAAGCGUUGUUCGGAAUUACUGGGCGUAAAGGGUUCGUAGGUGGCUUGCUCAGUCAGGGGUGAAAUCCUGGAGCUCAACUCCAGAACUGCCUUUGAUACUGGAGAGCUUGAGUCCGGAAGAGGUGAGUGGAACUCCGAGUGUAGAGGUGAAAUUCGUAGAUAUUCGGAAGAACACCAGUGGCGAAGGCGGCUCACUGGUCCGGUACUGACGCUGAUGUGCGAAAGCGUGGGGAGCAAACAGG